RNAcentral lists this small nuclear RNA (158 nucleotides) under Dasypus novemcinctus (nine-banded armadillo). Its description in RNAcentral is "U1 spliceosomal RNA (ENSDNOG00000027951.1)". It matches the Rfam family "U1 spliceosomal RNA". Rfam says of the family: U1 is a small nuclear RNA (snRNA) component of the spliceosome (involved in pre-mRNA splicing). Its 5' end forms complementary base pairs with the 5' splice junction, thus defining the 5' donor site of an intron. Lineage: Eukaryota; Metazoa; Chordata; Mammalia; Cingulata; Dasypodidae. The record is from RNAcentral.
AUGCUCACCUGGCAGGGGAAAUACCAUGAUCACAAAGAUGGUUUUCCCAGGGUGAGGGUCAUCCACUGCACUCCAGAUAUGCUGACCCCUGUGAUCUCCCAAAUGUGGGAAAUUCAACUGCAUAAUUUGUGGUAGUGGGGGACUACCACUCUCCCUUA